ACUCCUACGGGAGGCAGCAGUGGGGAAUAUUGCACAAUGGGCGAAAGCCUGAUGCAGCGACGCCGCGUGAGGGAUGACGGCCUUCGGGUUGUAAACCUCUUUCAGCAGGGAAGAAGCGAAAGUGACGGUACCUGCAGAAGAAGCACCGGCUAACUACGUGCCAGCAGCCGCGGUAAUACGUAGGGUGCGAGCGUUGUCCGGAAUUAUUGGGCGUAAAGAGCUUGUAGGCGGUUUGUCGCGUCUGCCGUGAAAUUUCGGGGCUCAACCCCGAACUUGCGGUGGGUACGGGCAGACUAGAGUGUGGUAGGGGAGACUGGAAUUCCUGGUGUAGCGGUGAAAUGCGCAGAUAUCAGGAGGAACACCGAUGGCGAAGGCAGGUCUCUGGGCCACUACUGACGCUGAGAAGCGAAAGCAUGGGGAGCGAACAGGAUUAGAUACCCUGGUAG
This 446-nucleotide ribosomal RNA is filed under the name uncultured Phycicoccus sp. RNAcentral's name for it is "bacterial SSU rRNA". It matches the Rfam family "Bacterial small subunit ribosomal RNA", at positions 335 to 793 of the family's 1533-position model. Lineage: Bacteria; Bacillati; Actinomycetota; Actinomycetes; Micrococcales; Intrasporangiaceae. The record is from RNAcentral.